Delphinapterus leucas (beluga whale) is the source of this 2039-nucleotide non-coding RNA. The record is from RefSeq and is a predicted model, not a curated record. Lineage: Eukaryota; Metazoa; Chordata; Mammalia; Artiodactyla; Monodontidae.
GGCGCCCCACCGGGUGGGCCUGGGGCGCGACGUCCGCCGGUAGGCUUGCCUGGGCGGCGCAUGCGUGCUACCGGUGCUGGUGGAGGAGGGGAAGGAAAGGGAGGGGGAGGAGGAGCGGGAGGCAGUCGCGGGGAAUUGUUUGGGGGUGGGUGGGGGGCGCCGCUCAGCUCCAGGUACUGCCUGAGCUGGGAGCCACGGCGUCUUCCGGGCGCAGCCGGGUUAGCUGUUCCGAGUCACCGCAGCUAGGCUCCAGGGUGGGGGAGGGAAGAAGCCGGAGCCGCCGCAAGCCGCAAGUGAAGGAAAAGCCCAAGAAUUAAAGAAACUUUUACAGUAAUUGUUGAUGUGGCUAUUAUGCUGAUCCCCCGAAUCAAAAAAAGGAGGGCCCCUGAUGGUCAGUUGAUCAAUUCAUCCAUUCAUAGGGAGGCUGGCAGUUUUCCCUCAGGCCUUUGCAAAAGCCCCCUGAAAGGAUCAUCCUCCACAGGACUUUGACUCACCUUCCUUCCCAGGAGUCAACCUCUAAGACCCUUGAGGCUAGGGGACUGGGAAGAGCUUCAGAAUGGCUAAUAUAUUGCAGUCAAGUGCUGCUGAAACUUAGAAGCUGAUUUUGUCACAGUGUAAGAUGCCUUUGGAAAAUUCUGCAUUCCUCUUAGAUGAAUCUUUACAACUUGUGCAUAAAUACUGAGUGUCAUUUUGAUGAAAUUUUAUGAAGUCAACACUCGUUUAACCAAUACCAAGAUCAAGAUAUAGAACAUUUUCAUCAAUCCAGGAGCCUCCUUCAUGCCCCCUGACAGUCAUCACGCACUCCCAAAGGUAACUAUUAUUCUUGCUUGAUUCACUAUUCAUUAGUAUUGUCUAUUUUUGAACUUCUUUUGGCUUUUUAUGGUCAACAUCUUGUUGAUGUGUGUCAUUCAUAUUGAUUCAUACAGCAGUAGCUCAUCCUUUUUCAUUGCUUUGUAAUACUUCAUUAUAUGUAUAUACCAAAAUUAUUCAUCCAUUGUACUGUUGAUGAGCAUUUGGUUUACUAUCAGUUUUUGGCUGUUAUGAACAAUUCCACUGUGAACAUUUUUGAACAUUUCUUUUGGCACAUAUGUAUGCAUUUCUGUUGGAUAAAUAUCCAGUGGUGAAAAUGCUGGGUCAGGGUAUUUGGCUGUUUAGCUUUUGUAGAUGCUCCUAAUGGUUGAAUCAGUUUACACUUCCACCAACAGUGUACAUGAAUUCUUGUUGCUCUUCAUCCUCAAUAACACUUGAAAUUAUUAGUGUUUCAAAUUAAUAACUCUUCUGCAGUGUAUGUAGUGAAAUUUUAUUGUAGUUUUGUUAUUCCCUGAUAACUUAAAAGGUUAUCACAUGUUUACAUGCUUACUGACCCUUUGGAUAUCCUUUUCUGAGAAAUGCCUGUUCAUGUUAUUUGUCCAUUUUUCUAUUGUGUUGUCUGUCUUACGGAUUUGCAGAAGUUCUUUAUUUCUAGGAUAAGUUUUUGUUGGAUUAGGUAUUGAAGUUAUCUCUUCUACUUCUUCACUCUUUCAGUAGUGUGUCUUAAUUAAGAUAAUUUCUUAAUUUUAAUGAAGUCUAUUUUAUCAGAGUGUUCUUUUAUGGUUAGUUUUGUGUGUUUUAAGGAUUCUUUGUCUAUCUCAAAGCCAAGAAGAUACUGUGCUAUGUUUUCCUCUAUAAACUUGAGUGUUUUAACUUUCACAUUUAGGUUUCUGCAUGAUGUGUGGUAGGAUUCAUGGUUUAUUUUAUUUUCCAUUUGGAAAUCCAUUUGGUCCAGCAUUAUUUAUUGAAAAGACUGUCCUUUCCUACUGUAAUGCAGUAGUAGUGCCUUUGUUGUAAUUCAGGUGACUUUAUUUGUGGGUCUGUUUUUGGACUCUGUUUCUGUUCCAUUGGUCUGUUGUUGUACCAGUGCCAUACACUUUUAGUUAUUAUAGCUUUAAGUUCUCCAACUUUUGUACUUCAAAAUUGCUUUGGUUCUUCUUGGUCCUUAUGAAUUUCAAUAAAGAUUUUACACUCAGCCUGUCAGCUUCCUAAAUGAGUAAAUAAAUAAC